Molecule: ribosomal RNA, 761 nt
Filed under: uncultured Chloroflexota bacterium
Lineage: Bacteria; Bacillati; Chloroflexota
Description: bacterial SSU rRNA
Rfam family: Bacterial small subunit ribosomal RNA
Source: RNAcentral
AGCUAGGGUAGCAAACGGGAUUAGAGACCCCGGUAGUCCUAGCCCUAAACGAUGUAGACUAGACGUCGGCGGUGUAAUAGCUGUCGGUGUCCAAGCUAACGCGAUAAGUCUACCGCCUGGGGACUACGGCCGCAAGGUUAAAACUCAAAGGAAUUGACGGGUCCCCCGCACAAGCAGCGGAGCGUGUGGUUUAAUUCGUUGCUACACGAAGAACCUUACCUGGGUUUGACAUAGCAGUGGUAGGGAAGAGAAAUCGGACCGACCCUUCGGGGAGCUGUUACAGGUGUUGCAUGGCUGUCGUCAGCUCGUGUCGUGAGAUGUUCGGUUAAGUCCGCUAACGAGCGCAACCCGCGUUGUGUGUUAUAUGUGUCACACAAUACCGCCGGUAUUAAGCCGGAGGAAGGUGCGGAUGACGUCAAGUCAGCAUGACCUUUACAUCCAGGGCUACACACACGCUACAAUGGACAGUACAACAGGUUGCCAAGCCGCGAGGCGGAGCCAAUCCUCUAAAGCUGUCCUCAGUUCAGAUUGCAGGCUGCAACUCGCCUGCAUGAAGUUGGAGUUGCUAGUAACCGCAGGUCAGCUAUACUGCGGUGAAUACGUUCCCGGGGAUUGUACACACCGCCCGUCAAGUCAUGGAAGCUGGCAACACCUGAAGCCGGUAUCCUAACCCGUAAGGGAGGGAGCUGUCAAAGGUGGGGUCGGUGACUGGGACUAAGUCGUAACAAGGUAGGUGUACCGGAAGGUGCCGGCUGGAUCAC